GACGAACGCUGGCGGCGUGCUUAACACAUGCAAGUCGAACGAUGAAGAAGAGACACGCGGACGUCGGUUAAAAUUUCACUGCGGAGUAGUGGCAGACGGGCGAGUACCGCGUGAGCAACCUACCUCUGAAAAAGGGAUAGCCUCGGGAAAACGUGAUUAAUACCAUAUGACACAUUCAUAAGGCAUCUUAAGAAUGUUAAAGCUGCGGCGGGAAGGGAUGGGCUCGUGUCCUAUUGGCUAGUUGGUGAGGUAACGGCCAACCAAGGCGACGAUGGGGAACCGGGCGGGGAGCGUGAACGGUCACGUUGGAACUGCGACCCAGUCUCCACUCGUACGGGAGGGAGCAGUGGGGAAUAUUGCACGAUGGAGGCAACUCUGAUGCAGCGACGCGGCGUGAGAGAUGCAUGGAUUCGUAUCGUAAAGCUCUGUUGUAUGGGAAGAAAGGGACGGUACCUGAGGAGAAAGCCCCGGCUAAAUACGUG
This 482-nucleotide ribosomal RNA is filed under the name uncultured bacterium. RNAcentral describes it as "partial 16S ribosomal RNA". It matches the Rfam family "Bacterial small subunit ribosomal RNA", at positions 28 to 507 of the family's 1533-position model. The record is from RNAcentral.